This 354-nucleotide unclassified non-coding RNA is filed under the name soil metagenome. RNAcentral's name for it is "partial contains 5.8S ribosomal RNA, internal transcribed spacer 2, and large subunit ribosomal RNA". The stretch from base 1 to 121 matches the Rfam family "5.8S ribosomal RNA", at positions 35 to 154 of the family's 154-position model. The record is from RNAcentral.
GAUGAAGAACGUAGCGAAAUGCGAUAAGUAAUGCGAAUUGCAGAAUUUCCGUGAGUCAUCGAAUCUUUGAACGCACAUUGCGCCCGCCAGUAUUCUGGCGGGCAUGCCUGUUCGAGCGUCAUUACAACCCUCAGGCCCCCGGGCCUGGCGUUGGGGAUCGGCGGAAGCCCCCUGCGGGCACAACGCCGUCCCCCAAAUACAGUGGCGGUCCCGCCGCAGCUUCCAUUGCGUAGUAGCUAACACCUCGCAACUGGAGAGCGGCGCGGCCACGCCGUAAAACACCCAACUUCUGAAUGUUGACCUCGAAUCAGGUAGGAAUACCCGCUGAACUUAAGCAUAUCAAUAAGCGGAGGA